GGUUAAGCGACUAAGCGUACACGGUGGAUGCCCUGGCAGUCAGAGGCGAUGAAGGACGUGCUAAUCUGCGAUAAGCGUCGGUAAGGUGAUAUGAACCGUUAUAACCGGCGAUUUCCGAAUGGGGAAACCCAGUGUGAUUCGUCACACUAUCAUUAACUGAAUCCAUAGGUUAAUGAGGCGAACCGGGGGAACUGAAACAUCUAAGUACCCCGAGGAAAAGAAAUCAACCGAGAUUCCCCCAGUAGCGGCGAGCGAACGGGGAGCAGCCCAGAGCCUGAAUCAGUGUGUGUGUUAGUGGAAGCGUCUGGAAAGGCGCGCGAUACAGGGUGACAGCCCCGUACACAAAAAUGCACAUGCUGUGAGCUCGAUGAGUAGGGCGGGACACGUGGUAUCCUGUCUGAAUAUGGGGGGACCAUCCUCCAAGGCUAAAUACUCCUGACUGACCGAUAGUGAACCAGUACCGUGAGGGAAAGGCGAAAAGAACCCCGGCGAGGGGAGUGAAAAAGAACCUGAAACCGUGUACGUACAAGCAGUGGGAGCACGCUUAGGCGUGUGACUGCGUACCUUUUGUAUAAUGGGUCAGCGACUUAUAUUCUGUAGCAAGGUUAACCGAAUAGGGGAGCCGAAGGGAAACCGAGUCUUAACUGGGCGUUAAGUUGCAGGGUAUAGACCCGAAACCCGGUGAUCUAGCCAUGGGCAGGUUGAAGGUUGGGUAACACUAACUGGAGGACCGAACCGACUAAUGUUGAAAAAUUAGCGGAUGACUUGUGGCUGGGGGUGAAAGGCCAAUCAAACCGGGAGAUAGCUGGUUCUCCCCGAAAGCUAUUUAGGUAGCGCCUCGUGAAUUCAUCUCCGGGGGUAGAGCACUGUUUCGGCAAGGGGGUCAUCCCGACUUACCAACCCGAUGCAAACUGCGAAUACCGGAGAAUGUUAUCACGGGAGACACACGGCGGGUGCUAACGUCCGUCGUGAAGAGGGAAACAACCCAGACCGCCAGCUAAGGUCCCAAAGUCAUGGUUAAGUGGGAAACGAUGUGGGAAGGCCCAGACAGCCAGGAUGUUGGCUUAGAAGCAGCCAUCAUUUAAAGAAAGCGUAAUAGCUCACUGGUCGAGUCGGCCUGCGCGGAAGAUGUAACGGGGCUAAACCAUGCACCGAAGCUGCGGCAGCGACGCUUAUGCGUUGUUGGGUAGGGGAGCGUUCUGUAAGCCUGUGAAGGUGUGCUGUGAGGCAUGCUGGAGGUAUCAGAAGUGCGAAUGCUGACAUAAGUAACGAUAAAGCGGGUGAAAAGCCCGCUCGCCGGAAGACCAAGGGUUCCUGUCCAACGUUAAUCGGGGCAGGGUGAGUCGACCCCUAAGGCGAGGCCGAAAGGCGUAGUCGAUGGGAAACAGGUUAAUAUUCCUGUACUUGGUGUUACUGCGAAGGGGGGACGGAGAAGGCUAUGUUGGCCGGGCGACGGUUGUCCCGGUUUAAGCGUGUAGGCUGGUUUUCCAGGCAAAUCCGGAAAAUCAAGGCUGAGGCGUGAUGACGAGGCACUACGGUGCUGAAGCAACAAAUGCCCUGCUUCCAGGAAAAGCCUCUAAGCAUCAGGUAACAUCAAAUCGUACCCCAAACCGACACAGGUGGUCAGGUAGAGAAUACCAAGGCGCUUGAGAGAACUCGGGUGAAGGAACUAGGCAAAAUGGUGCCGUAACUUCGGGAGAAGGCACGCUGAUAUGUAGGUGAAGCGACUUGCUCGUGGAGCUGAAAUCAGUCGAAGAUACCAGCUGGCUGCAACUGUUUAUUAAAAACACAGCACUGUGCAAACACGAAAGUGGACGUAUACGGUGUGACGCCUGCCCGGUGCCGGAAGGUUAAUUGAUGGGGUCAGCGCAAGCGAAGCUCUUGAUCGAAGCCCCGGUAAACGGCGGCCGUAACUAUAACGGUCCUAAGGUAGCGAAAUUCCUUGUCGGGUAAGUUCCGACCUGCACGAAUGGCGUAAUGAUGGCCAGGCUGUCUCCACCCGAGACUCAGUGAAAUUGAACUCGCUGUGAAGAUGCAGUGUACCCGCGGCAAGACGGAAAGACCCCGUGAACCUUUACUAUAGCUUGACACUGAACAUUGAGCCUUGAUGUGUAGGAUAGGUGGGAGGCUUAGAAGUGUGGACGCCAGUCUGCAUGGAGCCGACCUUGAAAUACCACCCUUUAAUGUUUGAUGUUCUAACGUUGACCCGUAAUCCGGGUUGCGGACAGUGUCUGGUGGGUAGUUUGACUGGGGCGGUCUCCUCCUAAAGAGUAACGGAGGAGCACGAAGGUUGGCUAAUCCUGGUCGGACAUCAGGAGGUUAGUGCAAUGGCAUAAGCCAGCUUGACUGCGAGCGUGACGGCGCGAGCAGGUGCGAAAGCAGGUCAUAGUGAUCCGGUGGUUCUGAAUGGAAGGGCCAUCGCUCAACGGAUAAAAGGUACUCCGGGGAUAACAGGCUGAUACCGCCCAAGAGUUCAUAUCGACGGCGGUGUUUGGCACCUCGAUGUCGGCUCAUCACAUCCUGGGGCUGAAGUAGGUCCCAAGGGUAUGGCUGUUCGCCAUUUAAAGUGGUACGCGAGCUGGGUUUAGAACGUCGUGAGACAGUUCGGUCCCUAUCUGCCGUGGGCGCUGGAGAACUGAGGGGGGCUGCUCCUAGUACGAGAGGACCGGAGUGGACGCAUCACUGGUGUUCGGGUUGUCAUGCCAAUGGCACUGCCCGGUAGCUAAAUGCGGAAGAGAUAAGUGCUGAAAGCAUCUAAGCACGAAACUUGCCCCGAGAUGAGUUCUCCCUGACUCCUUGAGAGUCCUGAAGGAACGUUGAAGACGACGACGUUGAUAGGCCGGGUGUGUAAGCGCAGCGAUGCGUUGAGCUAACCGGUACUAAUGAACCGUGAGGCUUAACCUU
RNAcentral lists this ribosomal RNA (2904 nucleotides) under Escherichia coli. Its description in RNAcentral is "23S ribosomal RNA". It matches the Rfam family "Bacterial large subunit ribosomal RNA". Lineage: Bacteria; Pseudomonadati; Pseudomonadota; Gammaproteobacteria; Enterobacterales; Enterobacteriaceae. The record is from RNAcentral.